Molecule: RNA transcript, 2286 nt
Organism: Hevea brasiliensis (rubber tree)
Lineage: Eukaryota; Viridiplantae; Streptophyta; Magnoliopsida; Malpighiales; Euphorbiaceae
Gene name: bifunctional nuclease 2
Exons: 10
Source: RefSeq, a predicted model, not a curated record
GAAAAUAAUUUAAAAAAUAAAAAAGAAAAAGAGACAGCAUAUUGCAAUAAUGGAGCAAAAGAUAAAGAAACAGGGAGGAUAAACUUAUUAUUACUUUCAUAAUCCGAUGCAGAUCCUCGCUCGUUCAUCCGUAAUCAAGAAAACCAUCUGUGACAAAAAUAAAUAAAUAAAUAAAACCACUUUCGUUCGUUAUUUAUUAUUAUUUAAUUAAUUAAAUUCGGUAAUAGAAAAAUUAGCACAUAGGAUUUGAUUUGAUUGCAAGAAUUAUUCCCAUUUCUCUCGAAAUCCAACUACCUGUGUAUCUGGUUACACGUUUCUCUGCUCUGUUCGCUUCAUUUUGCUCAGCUUACCCUGACUUUACCUUCUCUCUUUCUGUCAUCUCCUGAGACAUAGAAAUGAUGCUUAGAGCUCAAUUCCAAGUUCGUGCACUCGACAGUUUCAGGGUUUUAAGGGAUGAAAUGAAUGCGAGUUGUGGUGGUGGAGGUUUGAUCCCGAAUUCAGGUGGGUGCUUGUCGAUUCAAUUAGGGAUCAAAAGAAGCUUAAGGUUACAGUGUCGCGGUGGUCGUAAGUCAAUCCUCAUCUCUUGUAAGUCUACUCGUGGAAAUUCCUCCGAUGGUGGUGGCCAAUCUACCAAUGCCCAUGAUGACCACGAUCACGACUUUCUCCAAGCUUCUCUUCUCAUUUCAGAAACUCUUUUACACUAUCGUAUGUGGAGGCAAGGAUUUCGAGAAGACAUGAGAUGGAGAUUACCUGGUAGAUCGAACCCAUUUGCUGUACUGUCAAAGGAGACAAGACCUGAUAUGAGUUUUAUCGGACACGAGUUUCUUCGUCGCUUCCAAAGUCCUACUAUUUUUCUUAAAGUUUCUUGUGAUGGAGACUUCUUGCUACCAAUUAUUGUUGGGGAAUUUGCUAUUGAGAAACUUAUAGAUAACUUUCAGGAAGCCGGUGGUAAUGGGGAUUGUCCAGACCAGUUUCAGCUUGUGAGAAAUCUGGUGGAAAAACUUGGUUAUGAAGUAAAAAUGGUGAGAAUUACGGAGAGAGUGGUUAAUACUUAUUUUGCAAGAGUAUAUAUUAGUAAGCCUGGGGAAAAUGAAAUUUUAAGCGUAGAUGUGUGUCCCUCCGAUGCCAUUAAUGUGGCAAACAAAUGCAAGGCCCCAAUACAUGUAAGGAAACAAAUUGUCUUCACAGACGCAAUCAGAAUUAGUUAUGGGAUGGGAAGAGUACAUGAUAGGAAGACAACUUAUGAUGUAUCCCUUGACAGUCCUGCUGAUGGUCCAGAUUCACUAUCUGAGGAACUUGAUAUUGUGAAGAAUAUGAAUUUAGCUGUUAAAGAGGAAAGAUAUGGUGAUGCAGAGUCAAUGCUCUUGAUUGUUAGAAUAGUUUUAAAUUGACUGCUGAUUCUUGUAGCCAUGUGGAGAGACAAACUGAUGGAGCUUCGCCAGUCAAGACACGAACAGACUUGAUCUAUCUGGAGUUACCACUUCCUGGCGUGUGGUUUCCGGCCGAGUUUCAUGGCUGUCCUCUUUGUGCUCAUUCUAGACAUAGUUUCCAAUAAAAUGUUUGGCAUAGCAUUUUAUAUAUCGUGCAAAUGAAAAGGACAGUCUGAGGAACUCAUGAAUGGUUAAAGAAACUCAAAAUAGUGGUACGUGAAGCUCAAAACUUGCUUUGAGAACUGAGAUACCUGAUUAUUUAAAUUUACAUUUGGUGGUCCCUUGAAUUGUUCAAAAUCACAAAGAUGAUCAAUUCUCUCAUGGAUGUGGAUUUUGUUGUUUCAAUUAGAAUGUAAAUGAUGCACGUCAAGAUAUAGAAAUGAUGCUUAUCAAGAAAGAAUGUAUUAAGUUCCUUGUUAAUUCUGGUGACACUGAAGCCAGAAACUUCUUUGUUUAGAAGUCUUUCCACGAUGAAGGAUGUGAAUGUGAAUCCCAGCUAGUACACUAUGACGAGUUUCCAGCUCUCCAUUAGGUUUUCUUUAUUUUCCUACUUUGUCAGGACAAAUAAAAGUGAUGAGAGCUACCAUUGUCAUUCUGAUGUUUGCUGGCAGCUGACAUUCUCCAUCAAAAGAGUCAUGAAAAAGGGAACAGAAGCCUCUGUAGUUUGACAAAAAAAUGUCAAGAAAGUUACUGCGCCUUGAAUUUGUCAUCAAGAUUUGAUACUGAUUAACCUGCAAUUUGUUAUGCAAAGAUUUUUGGAUGUGUUUUAGCAUGCUUGAAAUGUGAAUAUACUUGUGUAUAUAGAGAACAUUUUCUUGUUUGAAAGCAUUAUAUUAUCUAUAUUCAUCUUAGCUCA